This is a long non-coding RNA of Felis catus (domestic cat), 640 nucleotides long. RefSeq lists it as uncharacterized. The transcript has 3 exons. NCBI's taxonomy places the organism in Eukaryota, Metazoa, Chordata, Mammalia, Carnivora, Felidae. The record is from RefSeq and is a predicted model, not a curated record.
UCUUAAACUUUAAAAGUUAUUUUUAAAAGCCAACAGCUGAAUAUUAUCAACAUGCUAUAUUUCAAAUCAUAAAUACCUCCUAACCACUUGCAUUCACUCCCUAAUUUCUUAGGAAAGGUUUUAUCAUCCUGGUUUUGCAAAAGAUGAAAGAUUCUCAGAUGGGUAAAUCAGUCAUCAUCAUAUAACCGUUAGGUGGUGGAAACAGAUUUGGACCCAAUUUGAAUCAGGUCAGUUCCUUUAACCCCACCCACUUCUGAACCCAUCAAUUUUCCAGAAACUCCAAGUUUUUCACUAAGAACAGCAACUGUGGCAGGAGGAAAGAGUCCAGACCCUGCAUAUAUUGCUGGACCAGACCUACGCAGCCCAGGGCGUACCUCCUACACGUACUCACUGCUUUAUAAAGUUAUUUUGUGUUUAAAAUCUGACCAGCACUAUUCGUAUUUCCGCAUAGGAUGCUAUAUUUGCCUGUCAGAGAAAUGGGGGGAAAGCAGGUAAACAGUGGUCCAAGUGGGUAAGCUGGGGCUGCUUGUUUUGUUUUUGUUUUUGAUUGACAGUGGCUUGUAACUCAGUUGUCUCAAGAAAUUUAAAAAAUUCACUGCAUGGAAGUAUAUAUGGAAGUAGAGGUAGCCUUCCAUUGCUA